CCUUCAUCAGUGACCCGGAAUCGUUGCUGAGUAUGAUACAGGUAAUGUACCUGCUCAAUUUAUUAGUGGCAGGUAGAGUUUUAAAUCAGGAUGUGGACCGUAGUGUUGUUCACUUAAUGAACUUCCAUGCACUGCUUCCUGAGAACCCUUUUAUGGCUUCUGUUGGCUCCAUAUGGCAUUCUGAUGAGCUUACACUUCUCCUUAAGUGCUUCUAUAUCAGAAAACAAGAGCAAAGCUGAAACAAAGUGAGUCAUCUGGUUUUGUCUUUGCUUUCACUGCAUGAGAUAAUGUGGAGGUGUUAAUUACAAGACUUCACUGAGUCUUGACUAAUAACAGUGUGCAAACAAACGCAUGUCAGGCUCAGCCACAGAAAAGCUUCUACUAAUAAGGUAAAACUAGCAAUUAGAGCUGACAAUGAAGUAAUACUUUCCGUUGAAUAUUCAUUAAUGAAGUUCUUGUUUGGGAGAAGGGAGGCUUCUGAUUGUCCAGAUGGAAACCUAGAAUAGGAACCCUGGCCAUUCCUUCUAAAUGAAUUAAACUCCCUUUGGUGAGCCGGCACACUGGAUUAAUUCCCUUUUGUACUAGUGCACUGACCCUUUGCUUCAAAGGCAGAGCCUUGAUGGCCACUAAGAUUCCUCAAUCCGUGACCGUGGCAUUAUAGGGAUAAAUUGAAUUCCCAGAAGGAGAAAGAUGAUAGUGACCAUAGAACGUUACCAACAGUGUGCUGGAAAUACUGCAUGUUUUAUUUAAAUUCUUCUCUACAGCUUCUAGGGUUUCAAGAAGGAAGUGUGAUUAGCUCAUUAACCUGACUGAGCCAUAUCACUUAGCUUACAGUUCCUCUUCCCCUUCCCUUCUCUCUUUCUCUCUCUCUCUCUCUCUCUCUCUCUCUUUUUUUUCAGAAAGCAGUCUGACCUGUGUGGUAUAUGUAAUAUGAGCUGUGUUUGGUUUUUGUCCUUAUUUCCUGUUGCAGAGCUCCUGGAAUUUCCUGAGUAUUAGAAGCAUCUUUUGUUAUUCAUAAUGCACAUCUUUGAUAGUUCCUGAGUUUAUGCUAAUGAGGAGACUCAGGGUGGGUGCCCUGAACCUCAGGAUGGGGCUGACCACCAGAAAGACCAGUGCCUGACAACAUUAUAGGGUUGGAACUUUUAGCCUCCUUUAUCCAUGAUGGGAAGAGGAAAGGGAGCUAGAGACUAUGCUCUGAAAACAAACAAAACAAAACAAAAAAGUCUUGUUGAAUAACAAUAUUUGAUGAGUUUCUGGGUUGCUAAACACAUAGAGAGCUGGGAGAGUGGCUCACCCAGAGAGGUCACAAGAGCCAGCUUCCUUCACCCAAGCCUCACCCCAUCUAUCUCUUUAUCUGUUUUUUCAUCUGUAUCCUUUAUGAUAUCUUUUAUAAUAAGUGACAAAUGUAAAUAAGCGUUUUCUCAAGCUCUGUGAGCCAUUCUAGUAAAUCAAUUGUAAAUUAAUUGAAUUCAGGGGUGGGGGUUGUUGUGAUUGUAAUCGGUCAGUCAGAAGCACAGAUAGCUGGGGUUGGGGUGUAACUCAGCCAUAGAGUGCCUGAUUAACAUGUGCUGGGUCCUGGGUUCAAGCUCCCACACUGAAACUAAACAAAACAACAGCAAAAUCUCCAAACAAAACGAAACAAUUAGAGGUAGCCUGGACUUGGAAUUGGCAUCAGAAUUGGGUACAGUCAAAUAGAAUUAAGUCUUUAACCUGUGGGAUCUGACACUGUCUCUGAGCAGUGUUAGAACUGAUGAAUUCCAGGAUACCUAGCUGGUGUCCCCGGAGAAUUGCUCUGUGUGUGGAAAUAGCCUCAUGUAUUUUUCACAAACGUGUUCUGGGUUGAGUAUGAGAGUAGGAUUGUUCAGAAACACGUUGUGUGUUUUCCUUCAGUGACAUCCUUCCUUGAGCAUAUGAGAGUCCCUGCUUUCACAAAGGAAAGAAGCCUCCCCCAAAGCCAACCUUGGUAGUCUAAGGCUCUUCUACACAUGGUAUUAUUAUUUCUGAAACAUGUUCCCAAGUUAUACUACCUGGGUAAUGUAUGACCGUUUUUAGACUUUCUUAGUAAAGAUGCCCAAAUGAAAAACUUUAUUGAUAAAAAGUAUUCUAUUUAAGUGUACUUUAAUAGCUCUAUGCACAUAUGAGAAAAUACACAGGGAAUGUAGUUUUUGGAUUGUAGAAUCAAAAAAAAUCUUCUAUAGGGAUAAAUCCUUAGGAUAUCAGAAUUUUAGAAUGGAUCAUGGCCUGUGUAAAAUAAAACGCUCUGCUUUGAUGUCUUGACUGCUAAAAUCCUGAUUUGGUGGAUGUAGUUCUGGGCUCAAAUUCAAAAGUUACAGUCCCAAACUUCGUUGCAAUUAGAGAUGGUCACAUAACACACAUUUGGUCAAUGAUGUAUUAAGGAAGUUACUUAAAGCUACUAAAAAUAGGACAGAAGCAGCUAGCCUUUGUAUGUUCUGUAGUAGCUGGAACCUACUAGCUGUUUUGUAGUGGACCAUGAGUUAAGGGUGAAGACCACCAUAGAGCUAGCAAUAAUGGUCUAGACCUCUCUUUAUAUGAGCUCCAACAACCUUGAGCAUGCUCUUUCUCUCUCUCGCUCUUUCUCUCUCUCUCUCUCUCUCUCUCUCUCUCUCUCACACACACACACACACACACACUGUUCAAACCAUUAACUUUCAGUUAUUUUGCACAGCCAAAUGUAAUUCCUAAUUGAAAUAGGAUAUGGUAUCAGAACUGGUAGGAGGAAUUUGUGGAGGGAUGUUUUAAGUAACAAAAUAUUAAAUGCUAAUUUACUUAAAAGAGGAGGUGGGAUAGUGAAGAUAGACAUUACAGACCGGUAUAGGCAGGUGAUCUGUAUUGAAUGGGGCUUAUCAUUUUUGUAGCCUCUAAGAAAGAAAUCUACUGACUUUCUGAUAUAGGACGUUGGCAUUUGCUGGACCCUCUUGCUGCUUUUAGUAAAGCUCUAAGGAAGAGAAGAACCCACUUAAGAGACACCCAAUUUACAGACAGAUCUGGAAGAAAAUAUAGUGCUGCCAUAAGAGAUACUUCUUUUACCCUAAACUUGUAAUCCAGGUUGUUUGAGAAUUCCAAAAUCUGGGCUUUUUUUUUUUUUUUUUUUUUUAAGCUGGAACUUAUGUUUGAGAACUGGAACAGAAACCCAAAAUACAAUGUAAUGUAAAGUAGGAAAAUAGAAACCGUGUUCUGUCUUAAGUAAUGUUCAGGUAUAAGAUGGAUGAGCCUAGUAUGUGGCUCCAGGUUGCCUUUUUGUCUGUCUGCUUCUCAGUCUCACUCCUUGUGGAAGUCACCCCAGAUGACUUUCAGGCACCUAGACAUUUGGCAGGCAGGAUAAGAAAGAGGGAAGGAGAGCGUGCUCUUCCCUUUACAUGUGAUAUAUUCUGGAAGUCACACACAUUAUUUCUACAUUUCAUUAGACAGAAUUUCAUUUUAUGGCCGUCGUGAACUACAAAGUCUUUCAUUUGGGCCACUAUGUUCUUGGCUAAAGGUCAUGGAUUCUAGUAUGAUGGAAAGUGGGGCAAAACUGAGAUUGCCUCUUGUGUUGUAAAGUUCUCCCCUGAGAUAUAAACCAGUUAGGAUUACGAUAUCACAAAGUUAAGACACUUUGACAUAUUGAGUACUUUAAACUAAAGAAGCAGUUACAAAAUCAAGAUAUCUCUGACCUUCUUACACCCUUCUGCUCCUUGCCACUCUGUCUUUCCCAAAGUACCCAGAGAAGGCUUUUGAGGAAGAUUCCUCAUCUCAUCCAGAGAAAUUUUUGCAGAAGUAAUGCAAUCGUCAAGAGCACACUCCCUAUAAAGUCAUCAAACAGGGAAGAUUAUCUCACAGGAAAGAUGACCAGAGCUGACACCACACCCAGAACCCAGAUGGUUUUAUCACAGUCUAAGGUCUGUUCUUAGGCAAAUUCAUCUUCUGUAAAAGUAAUUCACUCUUGCUGGGCAGGUGGUGCAUACCUGUAAUCUCAGCAGCUUGGGGGGCUGAGGCAGGAGGAUUGCAAGCACAAAGCCAGCCUCAGCAAUUUAGCAAGGUCCUGAGCAAUUUAGGGAGACCUUGUCUCAAAAUAAAAAAUAAAAACAGGCUAGUGAUGUGGCUUAGUGGUUAAAAGCCCUUGAGUUCAAUCCCUGGUAUCAACAACAACAAUAACAAAGAUUUACUCUUCCUCUAUUUCCACUACUAAGAGGGUAUAUAAGCUUCUAAUCUCUUUGGGUUUGAGGGAACUCACUUUCAUUUUUGUGAUGUUCCCAUGCUUACGGUGCAAUGAACUCACGUGCCUUUUCUCCUGUUAGAAUGUCCAUUGCCAGUUUAUUCCAAAAGACUCAAUUAUUAAACCUUUAGAAGGUGGAGGGGAAGUUUCUUUUGCCCCAUACAUACCUUUUCUGUUCUUCUAAAAAUCCUUCCUUGAGAAGCUCUUCAUAUCAUUCUUGAGUUGCCUUUGACUUCACAUGUAAAAAAUAUUGUCAUGAACCCGAUGAUAAAAUACUGUUUAUAUUUUGUUUUUCAGUUAAGGAAAAGAGUGUUGGUGUUGGGGUGUUCCUUGGCAAUACCAACCAAGAAAAAUAACAACAACAACAAAAGCCUAAAACUCUUUUGAGGAAAUCUGGAAUAGCAGAUGCUCUGGUUUGGAUGUGCUGGAGUUCAUCCCCCUAACACUUCAUGUAUAAGAAGCUUGGACUCUGGUGUGGCAGUGUUGGAAGGUGGUAGCCCCUUAAAGAGGUGGGGUGUAGUGGGAGGUGAUUAGAUCAUCGGGAGUGCUGCCUUCAGAAUGGAUUACUGUAGCUUUUAUGGGACCCCAUUUAGUUCCUGUGAGAGGGGGCUAUUAGAAAAGAAUAGGUCCUGGUCACUAGCUUCUACAUCAUGAGGCUAUCUGCCACGGGACCUUCACCCGAGCCAAGCAGAUUCUGCACCAUGCUCUUGGACCUUCAGAAUUGUGAGCUAAAUAAACCUC
Molecule: long non-coding RNA, 4954 nt
Filed under: Marmota monax (woodchuck)
Lineage: Eukaryota; Metazoa; Chordata; Mammalia; Rodentia; Sciuridae
Source: RNAcentral